CUCCGACACGAUCGACAACGUCAAGGCCAAGAUACAGGACAAGGAGGGCAUCCCUCCCGACCAGCAGCGCCUCAUCUUCGCCGGCAAGCAGCUCGAGGACGGCAGGACCCUCGCCGACUACAACAUCCAGAAGGAGUCGACGCUCCACCUCGUGCUCAGGCUCCGCGGAGGCAUGCAGAUCUUCGUGAAGACCCUGACUGGCAAGACGAUCACGCUCGAGGUGGAGAGCUCCGACACCAUCGACAACGUCAAGGCCAAGAUACAGGACAAGGAAGGCAUCCCUCCCGACCAGCAGCGUCUGAUCUUCGCCGGCAAGCAGCUCGAGGACGGCCGCACCCUCGCCGAUUACAACAUUCAGAAGGAGUCGACGCUCCAUCUCGUCCUGAGGCUUCGCGGGGGUAUGCAGAUCUUCGUCAAGACUCUGACCGGGAAGACCAUCACGCUCGAGGUGGAGAGCUCGGACACGAUCGAUAACGUGAAGGCCAAAAUCCAGGACAAGGAGGGCAUCCCACCGGAUCAGCAGCGGCUCAUCUUCGCCGGGAAGCAGCUGGAGGACGGUCGCACGCUCGCCGAUUACAAUAUCCAGAAAGAGUCGACCCUUCAUCUCGUGCUGCGCUUGAGGGGAGGUAUGCAGAUCUUCGUGAAGACCCUGACCGGGAAGACGAUCACGCUGGAGGUGGAGAGCUCGGACACGAUCGACAACGUGAAGGCGAAAAUUCAGGACAAGGAGGGGAUUCCACCGGAUCAGCAGCGCCUCAUCUUCGCCGGGAAGCAGCUGGAGGACGGUCGCACCCUCGCCGAUUACAAUAUCCAGAAGGAGUCGACCCUGCACCUCGUCCUCCGCCUCCGCGGUGGCUAUUUCUGAAGAGACGGGCAUCUGGAAGUCCUCGCAGUCGGCAUGUGAUUUCGUCUGGUUUCAUGGUGCUUGAAAGUGGCCAUUUUUCAGUAGUAUAUGUUCGUUCUGGUGUAGCUUCUCUCUUAUGUGAACCAUGAAUGAAUGAACCUUAAUAAUAAGUAAUACAACUUUAUUUUCUCCCGCUCGUGCCUCUUGCAUGUGGACCACAUGACUUGAUGAUUGGUUUUUUCCG
Molecule: long non-coding RNA, 1088 nt
Filed under: Eucalyptus grandis
Lineage: Eukaryota; Viridiplantae; Streptophyta; Magnoliopsida; Myrtales; Myrtaceae
Description: long non-coding RNA (EGRA_LNC000163)
Source: RNAcentral